AGUCAAUUUUUGAAGUAAACAAAGUUACGCGGAAUUUUUCUCUUUGGAUUAUCAAACUAAUAUCAGAUAAGUUGUUAAAUUCACUUUUAUCUAAUGCAUAUAUUUGUUUAUUAAUAUUAUUUUAUUUGUUUGUUUUAUUUGUUAUAUUUAUUAAUAAGUCAAUUUUAUUUUAGUUACUAUGUAUUCAACUGAGAAGGAUCUUUUGAAACAACACAUUCGAUAGAAAAUGGUUAAGAAGAUGUAGAUGCCCAUUCUAUUCCUAUCUUCAGAAGUUAAUUAUACCUAUGUAAUACCUUCGCUCAGGUUAAAGAAUGGAGUAUAAGUCUAGCAUCAAAUGGAUGUAAAAAAUAUAGCUACCAUUUUAAAUAUAGCUACCAUUUUACCUUAUGAUCAGAGCAACUGAUGUCCAUUCGAAUAUUGUGAUCAGGAGUUAGUUCUACCUUUACAGUACCUUUGCUCUUUAUACCUCUUUUCUAGUUAAGUUAAUACCAAGUUGGUAUAAAAAUUUAGUUUAAUAAAUAAAGAAUUUGUAAAUGUUGUUUGUCACAAUUUUUCUCACCAAAAGCGAGAUUAAUUAAAAAACUUUAUCUCAAAUUUGGUCAUGAAUUAUUUUAUUAGACUUGGUAAGUCUUUAUUUAUUAACAACCUAACACCAUAUUAUUAGAAAUGUAAUAAUAAAAUGCUCUAGUUUUUUAAAUGCUUUUAAAUGUUUCAAAAUCGAAAUCUGGUUUUAUUUUGUAAUGCAAUGAAUUUAUCAGCUAGGUGAACUUAUAUUCCAAAAUAAGAAAUUCUAGAUUUAAAAGCGUACAUCAACAGCUAAUUCUCUUUUUGUCGUCAUUUUUCAUAUUUUGGUGAAAAUUGCGGUUUGCUUUCUGACUUCAAUAUAGUCUGAUUUAGUAAACUUUUAACAAUUACGGUUUUUUUGUUUUUAUAAGUCAAACAAUAA
This is a long non-coding RNA of Hydra vulgaris (swiftwater hydra), 946 nucleotides long. RefSeq lists it as uncharacterized. NCBI's taxonomy places the organism in Eukaryota, Metazoa, Cnidaria, Hydrozoa, Anthoathecata, Hydridae. The record is from RefSeq and is a predicted model, not a curated record.